AAAUUGAAGAGUUUGAUCAUGGCUCAGAUUGAACGCUGGCGGCAGGCCUAACACAUGCAAGUCGAACGGUAACAGGAAUCAGCUUGCUGAUUCGCUGACGAGUGGCGGACGGGUGAGUAAUGUCUGGGAAACUGCCUGAUGGAGGGGGAUAACUACUGGAAACGGUAGCUAAUACCGCAUAACGUCGCAAGACCAAAGAGGGGGACCUUCGGGCCUCUUGCCAUCGGAUGU
Molecule: ribosomal RNA, 231 nt
Filed under: Escherichia coli
Lineage: Bacteria; Pseudomonadati; Pseudomonadota; Gammaproteobacteria; Enterobacterales; Enterobacteriaceae
Description: partial 16S ribosomal RNA
Rfam family: Bacterial small subunit ribosomal RNA
Source: RNAcentral